UUUUAUGGAGAGUUUGAUCCUGGCUCAGGAUGAACGCUGGCGGCGUGCCUAAUACAUGCAAGUCGAGCGAACAGACGAGGAGCUUGCUCCUCUGACGUUAGCGGCGGACGGGUGAGUAACACGUGGAUAACCUACCUAUAAGACUGGGAUAACUUCGGGAAACCGGAGCUAAUACCGGAUAAUAUAUUGAACCGCAUGGUUCAAUAGUGAAAGACGGUUUUGCUGUCACUUAUAGAUGGAUCCGCGCCGCAUUAGCUAGUUGGUAAGGUAACGGCUUACCAAGGCAACGAUGCGUAGCCGACCUGAGAGGGUGAUCGGCCACACUGGAACUGAGACACGGUCCAGACUCCUACGGGAGGCAGCAGUAGGGAAUCUUCCGCAAUGGGCGAAAGCCUGAC
Molecule: ribosomal RNA, 398 nt
Filed under: Staphylococcus epidermidis NIHLM095
Lineage: Bacteria; Bacillati; Bacillota; Bacilli; Caryophanales; Staphylococcaceae
Description: bacterial SSU rRNA
Rfam family: Bacterial small subunit ribosomal RNA
Source: RNAcentral